CCUGGUUGAUCCUGCCAGUGGCAUAUGCUCGACUGAAAGAUUUAAGCCAUGCAAGUGUAAGUAUAGUAUGCUUUAUUUACGAAACUGCGAACGGCUCAUUACACCAGCUAUAAUCUAAGCGAUGACCGAGUCAAAGACUCUUUAUUUGGAUAACCGUUGGAAAACUAGGGCUAAUACAUAAAAAAAGACGGAACUUCUUUGAGGAACCGUUGGGGAUGUUUUAGAUUCAAAACCAAUGGUGAGGGGAAACUCUCAUCUUUUUUCCGGUGAUUCAGAACAUAUUUCAAAGCGCAGAGCAGCAAUGCGGCGCUACAUCGCUCGAAUAUCUGUCCCAUCAAUUGUGUCGCGAGAGUCGUGUUCUCGCGAGAUAUUAACGGGUAACAGAGAAUAAGGGUUUGGUUCUGGAGAGGCAGCUUGAGAAACGGCUACCACGUCUAAGGAUGGCAGCAGGCGCGCAAAUUACCCAAUGAAGACAUUUUGAGGUAGUGAAUAGUAAUAACGAUGGCGACCUAGUUACUAGUUUGCCAAUUGGAAUGAGACAGAUUUAAAAUACCGAACGAGUAACGAUUGGAGGGCAAGUCUGGUGCCAGCAGCCGCGGUAACACCAGCUCCAAAAGCGUAUUCCAAUGUUGCUGCAGUUAAAAAGCUCGUAGUUGGAUUUGAUUGACGCAUUUUCGGGGGAUCACAUAGGAUUUGUGAAUUUCUCUCGAUGUGUGUCUUUAACCGCGAAGAGUCAGUGUAGAUGGCUUGUUAACUCAGGUUGUCUUGGCGCGGGGCCGCAAGGUCUAACGUCGGUGUCGCGAGGGUGGGUUUCCACGCGCGUGGGCAGACACCUCUUCUAUUUACUUUGAAAAAAUUAGAGUGUUUAAAGCAGGCGUAUUUCGAAAGAUUUACUUGCCGUUGAAUAGAUGAGCAUGGGAUAAUGAAAAACGACACUUUCGCGUAGUUUUGUUGGUAGUUCAACGUGGAAGAGUAAUGAUUAAAAGGGAAAGAUUGGAGUUCUGAGUAUUUUGAGGCCAGCGGUGAAAUGCGUAGAUCCUCGAAAGACUAACGAAUGCAAAAGCACUGGACUAGGAUUUACCCAUUAAUCAUGAACGAAGGCUUGGGGAUUGAAGAUGAUUAGAUACCGUUGUAUCCAAGCAGUAAACGAUGCGAACCAAGGAUUGGAUUCAGGCGUUAGAGUAGCGUAAGUUGCUCUAAACAAAAGAUAGCCUCUUCCAGCACUUUGAGAGAAAUCAGAGUUUUUGCGUUCCGGGGGGAGUACGGUCUCAAGGCUAGAACUUAAAGGAAUUGACGGAAGAGCAUCACCGGGCGUGGAAUUUGCGGCUCAAUUUGACUCAACGCGAGACAGCUUACCAGGCUCAGAGAUUAGAAGGAUAGACAGAUUGAAGCUCUUUCUAGAUUUAUUCGCUGGUGGUGCAUGGCCGUUCUUA
This 1433-nucleotide ribosomal RNA is filed under the name metagenome. RNAcentral's name for it is "bacterial SSU rRNA". It matches the Rfam family "Eukaryotic small subunit ribosomal RNA", at positions 3 to 1296 of the family's 1831-position model. The record is from RNAcentral.